UCUCUCGCUUAUCAACUUAAUAUUCGUUUGUCGAGGGAGUAGUUUUGGGCUACAUCAAAAUCAUUUUAAUCUUAUUAAAAGAACAUGGGCCUAUCACAACUAUUGGUCCAAGUUAAUAUGAAUUUAGUAGUUUAUAAUACUCCCACUAUUUCGAAGAAAUAAGUGAGACUAUAUGGAACUACUAAUGAAUGCAUUGCAUCCUCAUAUGGACUAUAUAGUCAUAUUAGGUUUUAGGAUGAUUAUGAAACGAUUAAUUUGAUCCAACACGAGCCUUGUGUUGGACCUUGGGUUUAAGGUAGAUAGUUGUUGAUUUUAGUUACGCGUUUAAUCCAAUUAAACCGUUAUUUCCUAUUGGGCGUUGGACCCAACUAUUCCAUUUUGCAUACAUAUAAACAAAAAGGAAUACAUGAAAUAAUAAGAAGGGCUUAUGCCCUUUUACAACACAAAUGAUGGACUUAUGUCCAUUUACAACAAAUUGAAUUAAUCAAAUUACAUUCAAAUCUACACUACCAUACCCAAACAUUCAUAAUGUAAAGCGGCCAAUCACAUAGCUCAAUUAUCGAGGCCUUUGGUUCAUAAUCACCAUUUUCUUAAUUAAUCACAUUAACUAAGAAAGCAACUUAAACAAUUGGUUUUUGGAUCCAUAGAACUGAUUUAAAUGGAACUAAAUGGAAUGAAAAUCCAAUUCUCAUUAAAGAGACAAAACAAUUUUGUUCUCAUUUUAUUUGGGCCAAAAGGAAACUAUGACCACAACAAUUGGGCCACAAUGCAAAAACACAAACUUUUGGGGUCACUUUGAAAAAAUACAAAAGUCCACAACUUCAUGUAAUUUCAACUAGAACCCAAAAUUUUAAUAAUGUAAAAACAUCAUUAAAGGAUCGAAACAAUUCGUCCUUUAGAGUUUUUGGGCCUUAACGUAAAAACGUAAACUUUUGGGCCAAAGUGCAAAUACACAAAAGUAUCAAAACUUUAUGUAAUUGCAUAAAAGGCCCCAAAAGUACCCCCACUAGGGGGUGGCCAGUUUUAGAGUAGUAAAGGAGUGUGAAAGGGUUUUAUGCAAGUAGAUUUUAUUAGGUGAGAUAUAAAGGUGAUAUAGAUUGGUUGUAAGAAAUAUUUAUGUCAAACAUUAAAGAUAUUUGUCUAACAUUAAAGCCAAUAAUAAUGCUUCACCAAUAACCAUCACCCAUCAAAAUUAAACCAAAACAUUAUGAAAAACAUAAAACUUUUGAAUCAUAACUUCAAAACUUUUUGUUCUUGGCAAGAACUUCAAGAACAUUGAAGAACACCAUGAAAACUCAUAAUAGCUCCAUGAAUGUUUUCACUCACCAAAACUCAAUUUUUCACCACUCAAAAGAGGGCUAAUAUCCUAGGGUACUUAGGGGUUCCAAAAGUCACCUUAAAACCAUUUUAACAAGACAAACAUGAAACCAAAAAAUCACCCUUUGGAUUUGGCCGAAUUUCCCAAAAUACAUGGCACCAAAUUUU
Molecule: long non-coding RNA, 1485 nt
Filed under: Malus domestica (apple)
Lineage: Eukaryota; Viridiplantae; Streptophyta; Magnoliopsida; Rosales; Rosaceae
Description: long non-coding RNA (MDOM_LNC016805)
Source: RNAcentral